This 868-nucleotide long non-coding RNA is filed under the name Equus caballus (horse). RNAcentral's name for it is "lncRNA (ENSECAG00000049952.1)". Lineage: Eukaryota; Metazoa; Chordata; Mammalia; Perissodactyla; Equidae. The record is from RNAcentral.
CUUCAUGAUGCGACAGCACUGGGUCCCACAAACAGCUACUGCUAGGCACCUGGGAACCACGAAGAAAUAAGAUCGCUGAGCUCAACCAGCCUCUACUGUUCCAUUUUCCCAUGGAGCAGAGUCAGCCAGGCAACUGCUUGGAGGGCAGAUACCCACCUCGCCUUCUUCCGCGCAUCUCAGAAGCCAGUUUCUGGUCCAAGCCACUCUAGGAGAAGCCUAGAAGCGGCACCCCAGGGCUCCCCAACAUCCCCCAGCGCCGGGAAACCGACUCCGGCUCGCAGUAAGGCAGCCAGGCCUGCCCUUGUCUGAACCUGCGUCCUUGAGACUCAGCCAAACCUCUCCCGGCUUGGCGGAGGGAUGUUGAGGUGACAUUCUUCUCCCUGCCACUCAGCAUCUUUUAAACAAUCCUCCACCUUGGGAGAAGACGCAGGAGCUCCCUGCAGAUUAGGGCCACGGAAGAAAGAAAGUCUCCUUCUCCCUGGGAGGGGCAUUUGUCGCAAGUGAAAAAACGCACCCGUGAAAGUGCUCAUCUCCUGCAGCCAAGGCUCGCCCGGGACCUCAUUUCAUGAGUGAGGAGCCUUCAUCUCACCAGCCCACCCCAGCUGACUGCUGGAGGCACCUGGGGAGCUGUGUUGAGACAGAUGCUCAAGGCCAGUAGGUCAAAAGGCCCCUCGAGCAGUUUGAUGACUCUACCACGGCAGCGGCCCAGCCUGGACCAGCCCGGUGGCCGGCCUGCCCUGAACAGGGAAAGCUCAGAUGGACGUGAUGCGGCGACAGGAGCCUCACGGGACCCCCCGCUUCUCACUUCGUUCCUCUCACACUCCCAUCUCUUCCCUCCAGGCCCUUGACAAACAAGACAACAUUCGGG